CUGCGUUGAUAACAUGAAGCGAUCUAAUAAACCCUUCGGUGCACAGGGACGAAAACGGAGUAAGGAUGAAGAGAAAAAGAAAGAACAGUAUAGAGAUGCACUCAGCCAAUAUUUGCAGAGGCCGGCACCUGCUGGAGAAAGAACACCUGAUCCUUCAUCUGAACUUUCUGCAGGAAUAGGGACAUCCAGUAGUAGUACUCCAGGGACCAGUGACACACAGGCCAGGAACACACAGCCUGCAUCAAGUGAAGGUGAAGGGACACCCAGGACCACAUCAAGCACUCAGCCACAGACUCUAUGAUUAAAACUGAGGCACAGUCUUUGGCUGAAGAGGUUGGAUCAUACCGCUUCUCCAUUUGUAGCGUUGUGUGGUAUGACAUGCUGGCCAAAAUUCAUCAUGUCAGCAAAGCAUUACAGUCCAUGUCUAUGCAACUGGAUGUGGCUCUGAAUCUCCUGAGGACAAGGGAAGCCUCUCUGGUCAGCUACAGAAGCAGUGGGUUUGUUUCUGCUCAGGUAUCUGCAAGAGAUCUCUGUGAGGAGAUGAAUGUGGACACUGUCCUAAAGCAGAAGAGGCUGAGAAAAAACAAAAGACAGUUCUCUUAUGAAUCCCCUGAUGAGCCAGAGGGAAAUGCGCUAAAGAAAUUGGAAAUUUCCUUUUUCUAUGUCAUUGUUGAUGUGUCAGUUACAUCACUGCAAGAACGCUUCAAGCUCUUGGGUGAUGUUGAGGACAAGUUUGGAGUGUUGGUGAACUUUCCUAAUUUGCCAGAGGAAGACCUUGCAAAGGAGUGCGAAACCCUCAGCAACACUCUGAGCCAUGGUGACCAUAAAGAUGUUGAUGGGAGGGAACUGUCACUUGAGUUGAAAAAUGUCCCAGUGUUGCCAAAAGCUGGCAUGACAACAAUGGAAAUUCUGAAUUACUUGAAGGAGAAGAAACUUGAAGAAGUUUUUCCUAAUAUGUGGGUGGCCCUAAGAAUUGCUGUCACACUACCGGUGACAGUAGCUUCUGCUGAAAGAAGCUUCUCUAAAUUAAAAUGACUUAAGACCUACCUGAGGUCAACGAUGAGUCAGGCACGCCUCAAUGGGCUUGCACUGAUGAGCAUCAACCAAGAGGUCUGAAGUAAAAUAUCAUUUGAUGUUACCAUCAACGAAUUUGCCAUUAGGAAGUCCAGACGAGUCAAAUUGUAAAGCUGCGUAAAUUUUGAAGGUGAAAGCCGAAAGGGACUUUUGUUUGUAGAGGGUAUAGUUUUGCACAGUUAUUGGAGUUUAUUACUUAAUUUAUGUAAAUAUCCUCGAACAUUCUUUGCAGCAUUUGUGUAUGAACAAUUUAUUACUGUUUAUCCUUAUGAUUUGCUUGUUAUAGUGUUGCAGUGACUAUUAAAGCAUUUUUGUUUGUU
Long non-coding RNA from Esox lucius (northern pike), 1394 nucleotides. RefSeq lists it as uncharacterized. The record is from RefSeq and is a predicted model, not a curated record. The transcript has 4 exons. Lineage: Eukaryota; Metazoa; Chordata; Actinopteri; Esociformes; Esocidae.